GUGGGGAAUUUUGGACAAUGGGGGAAACCCUGAUCCAGCCAUCCCGCGUGUAUGAUGAAGGCCUUCGGGUUGUAAAGUACUUUUGGCAGAGAAGAAAAGGUAUCCCCUAAUACGGGAUACUGCUGACGGUAUCUGCAGAAUAAGCACCGGCUAACUACGUGCCAGCAGCCGCGGUAAUACGUAGGGUGCAAGCGUUAAUCGGAAUUACUGGGCGUAAAGCGUGUGUAGGCGGUUCGGAAAGAAAGAUGUGAAAUCCCAGGGCUCAACCUUGGAACUGCAUUUUUAACUGCCGAGCUAGAGUAUGUCAGAGGGGGGUAGAAUUCCACGUGUAGCAGUGAAAUGCGUAGAUAUGUGGAGGAAUACCGAUGGCGAAGGCAGCCCCCUGGGAUAAUACUGACGCUCAGACACGAAAGCGUGGGGAGCAAACAGG
Molecule: ribosomal RNA, 430 nt
Filed under: bacterium
Lineage: Bacteria
Also listed under: 1 other name
Description: bacterial SSU rRNA
Rfam family: Bacterial small subunit ribosomal RNA
Source: RNAcentral